RNAcentral lists this ribosomal RNA (254 nucleotides) under uncultured bacterium. RNAcentral's name for it is "partial 16S ribosomal RNA". It matches the Rfam family "Bacterial small subunit ribosomal RNA", at positions 524 to 776 of the family's 1533-position model. The record is from RNAcentral.
UACGGGGGGAGCAAGCGUUGUUCGGAUUUACUGGGCGUAAAGGGCGCGUAGGCGGUCAGCACAAGUCAAUUGUGAAAUCUCCGAGCUUAACUCGGAAAGGUCAACUGAAACUGUGCGACUAGAGUGCGGAAGGGGCAACUGGAAUUCUUGGUGUAGCGGUGAAAUGCGUAGAUAUCGAGAGGAACACCUGCGGCGAAGGCGGGUUGCUGGGCUGACACUGACGCUGAGGCGCGAAAGCUAGGGGAGCGAUCCGG